This 372-nucleotide ribosomal RNA is filed under the name uncultured organism. RNAcentral's name for it is "bacterial SSU rRNA". It matches the Rfam family "Bacterial small subunit ribosomal RNA", at positions 526 to 896 of the family's 1533-position model. The record is from RNAcentral.
CAGAGGUCUCAACCGUUGUUCGGAUUCAUUGGGCGUAAAGGGUGCGUAGGCGGCGGAGUAAGUCAGGUGUGGAAUCUCGGGGCUCAACCCCGAAACUGCACUUGAUACUGCUUCGCUCGAGUACUGGAGAGGAGACUGGAAUUUACGGUGUAGCAGUGAAAUGCGUAGAUAUCGUAAGGAAGACCAGUGGCGAAGGCGAGUCUCUGGACAGUUACUGACGCUGAGGCACGAAGGCCAGGGGAGCAAACGGGAUUAGAUACCCCGGUAGUCCUGGCAGUAAACGGUGCACGUUUGGUGUGGGAGGAUUCGACCCCUUCCGUGCCGGAGCUAACGCGUUAAACGUGCCGCCUGGGAAGUACGGUCGCAAGAUUA